Molecule: ribosomal RNA, 912 nt
Filed under: Porphyromonadaceae bacterium enrichment culture clone B312134
Lineage: Bacteria; Pseudomonadati; Bacteroidota; Bacteroidia; Bacteroidales; Porphyromonadaceae
Description: bacterial SSU rRNA
Rfam family: Bacterial small subunit ribosomal RNA
Source: RNAcentral
AGAGUUUGAUCAUGGCUCAGGAUGAACGCUAGCGACAGGCCUAACACAUGCAAGUCGAGGGGCAGCACGGUGUAGCAAUACACGGGUGGCGACCGGCGCACGGGUGAGUAACGCGUAUGCAACCUGCUACUACAAGGGGAUAACCCGUUGAAAGACGGACUAAUACCCUAUAACACAGGGAAUCCGCAUGGAUAUAUUUGUUAAAGAUUAAUCGGUAGUAGAUGGGCAUGCGUUCCAUUAGCUUGUUGGUGAGGUAACGGCUCACCAAGGCAACGAUGGAUAGGGGAACUGAGAGGUUGAUCCCCACACUGGAACUGAGACACGGUCCAGACUCCUACGGGAGGCAGCAGUGAGGAAUAUUGGUCAAUGGACGAGAGUCUGAACCAGCCAAGUCGCGUGAAGGAAGACGGCCCUACGGGUUGUAAACUUCUUUUGUAAGGGAAUAAAGAGUCUUACGAGCUAAGACGUUGCAGGUACCUUACGAAUAAGGAUCGGCUAACUCCGUGCCAGCAGCCGCGGUAAUACGGAGGAUCCGAGCGUUAUCCGGAUUUAUUGGGUUUAAAGGGUGCGCAGGCGGCAUGUUAAGUCGGCGGUGAAAUUUUGCAGCUCAACUGUAAAAGAGCCUUCGAAACUGGCAAGCUUGAGUGUGGAUGAAGUAGGCGGAAUUUGUGGUGUAGCGGUGAAAUGCAUAGAUAUCACAAAGAACACCGAUUGCGCAGGCAGCUUACUAAACCAUAACUGACGCUCAUGCACGAAGGCGUGGGGAUCAAACAGGAUUAGAUACCCUGGUAGUCCACGCAGUAAACGAUGAUUACUGGCUGUUUGCGAUACAAUGUAAGCGGCUGAGCGAAAGCGUUAAGUAAUCCACCUGGGGAGUACGUUCGCAAGAAUGAAACUCAAAUGAAUUGACGG